Molecule: long non-coding RNA, 322 nt
Organism: Labrus mixtus (cuckoo wrasse)
Lineage: Eukaryota; Metazoa; Chordata; Actinopteri; Labriformes; Labridae
Exons: 3
Source: RefSeq, a predicted model, not a curated record
CGGUCCUGUGAAGCAGCCGUGAGGAGAGUGGAACGUCUUCGGUCUUCUGCAUUCGGACUUGGACCUAAGUUCAGAGUUCAGGAGGAUUGUCACCACAGACCUGAUGGAGUCUUUCUUUGGUGGGCUAGAUGCCUUGUUACCAAACCUUACAGAAUUGUACCAGUCAGGUGUCACAUCCAACAAGAGGUUAACCCUGAGAAGAAUUCUGCAGUGUCUUGGGAAAGAGGUAAGCACUGUAUAUACAUUACUCCUAUGAGUUUCUUCAGAGGGUCAUCAUGAAAAUCAAGCCAUACCAAUGCUCAGCAAGGAUUCAUGGGCUCAG